GAUGAACGCUAGCGGGAGGCCUAAUACAUGCAAGUCGAGCGGUAGAGUGACUUCGGUUGCUUGAGAGCGGCGAACGGGUGAGUAACGCGUACACAAUCUACCUUUAAGAGGGGAAUAGCCCUGGGAAACUGGGAUUAAUGCCCCAUGGCAUCACGAAGUGGCAUCGCUUUGUGAUUAAAGCUGAGGUGCUUAGAGAUGAGUGUGCGUCUGAUUAGCUAGUUGGUGCGGUAACGGCGCACCAAGGCGACGAUCAGUAGGGGGCGUGAGAGCGUGGACCCCCACACGGGUACUGAGACACGGACCCGACUCCUACGGGAGGCAGCAGUAAGGAAUAUUGGUCAAUGGAGGAAACUCUGAACCAGCCAUCCCGCGUGCAGGAAGAAUGCCCUAUGGGUUGUAAAACUGCUUUUAUCUGGGAAGAAAAGUCGGCAUUUAUGCUGAUCUGACGGUACCAGAGGAAUAAGCACCGGCUAACUCCGUGCCAGCAG
Molecule: ribosomal RNA, 488 nt
Filed under: uncultured bacterium
Lineage: Bacteria
Description: bacterial SSU rRNA
Rfam family: Bacterial small subunit ribosomal RNA
Source: RNAcentral